CAUAACACAUUUGAGGACAAAUAUAAUGAACAUGAGAAUCAAUAGCACCAGCAGUGAAGAUCAAGCCUUCGCCAGCCAAUGCCUCAGUACCAGCGCCCACAAUCAUACCAGGAGUAACAUUGUCCAUCAUAUCAGGAUUGCCUGAUUUGCCAAUGCCAACAAUAAUGCCCUUUUUAAUACCAAUAUCAGCCUUGUAAAUACCAGUGUAAUCAAAAAUCAUUGCGUUUGUAAUAACCAAAUCCAAAAUGUCGUCGUCGCAAGCGUCUGUUGCUUGGCCCAUGCCUUCUCUCAG
Molecule: small RNA, 292 nt
Filed under: Mucor circinelloides 1006PhL
Lineage: Eukaryota; Fungi; Mucoromycota; Mucoromycetes; Mucorales; Mucoraceae
Description: Mucor circinelloides f. circinelloides 1006PhL 5' ureB small RNA
Rfam family: 5' ureB small RNA
Source: Rfam by way of RNAcentral